This 414-nucleotide ribosomal RNA is filed under the name uncultured bacterium. RNAcentral's name for it is "partial 16S ribosomal RNA". It matches the Rfam family "Bacterial small subunit ribosomal RNA", at positions 356 to 784 of the family's 1533-position model. The record is from RNAcentral.
GGGGAAUAUUGGACAAUGGGCGCAAGCCUGAUCCAGCAAUGCCGCGUGGGUGAAGAAGGUCUUCGGAUUGUAAAGCCCUUUCGGCGGGGACGAUGGAUGACGGUACCCGCAGAAGAAGCCCCGGCUAACUUCGUGCCAGCAGCCGCGGUAAUACGAAGGGGGCUAGCGUUGCUCGGAAUCACUGGGCGUAAAGGGCGCGUAGGCGGCUCUGUUAGUCAGGCGUGAAAUUCCUGGGGCUCAACCUGGGGGACUGCGCUUGAUACGGCGGGGCUUGAGGAUGGAAGAGGCUCGUGGAAUUCCCAGUGUAGAGGUGAAAUUCGUAGAUAUUGGGAAGAACACCGGUGGCGAAGGCGGCGAGCUGGUCCAUUACUGACGCUGAGGCGCGACAGCGUGGGGAGCAAACAGGAUUAGAUA